GGAUGGGAUCAUACCAGCACUAAAGCACCGGAUCCCAUCAGAACUCCGAAGUUAAGCGUGCUUGGGCGAGAGUAGUACUAGGAUGGGUGACCUCCUGGGAAGUCCUUGUGUUGCAUUCC
Molecule: ribosomal RNA, 119 nt
Filed under: Triticum aestivum (bread wheat)
Lineage: Eukaryota; Viridiplantae; Streptophyta; Magnoliopsida; Poales; Poaceae
Also listed under: 1 other name
Source: RNAcentral